This 253-nucleotide ribosomal RNA is filed under the name uncultured bacterium. Its description in RNAcentral is "partial 16S ribosomal RNA". It matches the Rfam family "Bacterial small subunit ribosomal RNA", at positions 524 to 776 of the family's 1533-position model. The record is from RNAcentral.
UACGUAGGGGGCAAGCGUUGUCCGGAAUCAUUGGGCGUAAAGCGCGUGUAGGCGGCCCGAUAAGUCCGCUGUGAAAGUCCAGGGCUCAACCCUGGAAUGCCGGUGGAUACUGUCGGGCUCGAGUCCGGAAGAGGCGAGUGGAAUUCCUGGUGUAGCGGUGAAAUGCGCAGAUACCAGGAGGAACACCAAUUGCGAAGGCAGCUCGCUGGGACGUUACUGACGCUGAGACGCGAAAGCGUGGGGAGCAAACAGG